GAAGCUUGGGCAAGAAGGAUCCAAUUUCUGAUCACCAGGGUCAUGUAUUUAUAGCCAUGCUCAUUGUUUUUUGCACACUUCAAAAAUUGGCCAAAAUUGGAAAGGUGAGAUGCAUGCUUGCAUGGGCGUGUGAUAGGCCCAUGAGAUGAUGUAAUUAAGUCCGAAAAUGAUCAUGAGUGAUGCUGAAAGUGUAACAUGAAGCCACGCAUUUAAAUUUGAG
Molecule: long non-coding RNA, 220 nt
Filed under: Lathyrus oleraceus (garden pea)
Lineage: Eukaryota; Viridiplantae; Streptophyta; Magnoliopsida; Fabales; Fabaceae
Description: Pisum sativum (pea) long non-coding RNA (PSAT_LNC027297)
Source: RNAcentral